Molecule: long non-coding RNA, 903 nt
Organism: Dreissena polymorpha
Lineage: Eukaryota; Metazoa; Mollusca; Bivalvia; Myida; Dreissenidae
Exons: 4
Source: RefSeq, a predicted model, not a curated record
GAUAUGCAAACACUUAUCCAACAGAAUGCGAAGAUGUCAGCUGGUUCAUCAAAGCUGUCCUGAAUUGUGGAGACGUUGAUUCCAAGCGGCCAAUGGCUGACAUACACCUGAAACUGUCGGCCCCAUAAUGUAAGACCAAACGAGUACAAAGAGGGAUGGCAUUUGUCUCUGGUGCGUCUACAGACAGUUAUCUUGACCUUAAUAGAACAUCAAAGACACUUGACACUUGACACCAGGUAUCCGGGAAAUACGUCUUCAUUGUUGUGAUGAUUAUUGCCAUGGAAGAGUUACGGUCAUCAUUCUCUAUUGGACUUUGGAAUGUUUCACAGCUGAUGUCUUCAUGAAUGAUUGGCUCUAUCAUCUUCGAAGAUCUCCUCAAGAGCAAACAUGGUGGCAAGUUGAAUGGAAUGGCGGAUUGGUGAAAAAUCAUGAACAUGCUUCUAGAAUAUUUGUAAUGUUUUCAAAAACUAUAAUAAAUGGUUGGGACACGAUACAGAGGACUCUAAUGUAUGGCAACAAAAAUGAUACAAAAAAUAAUGCAUUGGAAAUGUAACUAUGUUUAUCAUUUUACCAAAAUCACUGGCACGAAAUGAUACAGCUCAUAAUGUCUCAAAACGUCUUUGUGUGGACAAAUUUUAGCAUCAUCUCAGUCUACCAGGCUGGAUCUUGAUUACAUCAUACAAACAACAAUAAUGAUGUCAUCUAUUGCAAAAUGAUAGCACAACCCUGUUGUAUUAUUUGGACAUAAUAAUGAGAACAAGAGCUAAGUGUGAAGGCAUCAGUAAGGAAUUACUAAUGACAGAAUAUGAGACACAUGCUAAUGGCAACAGCUAUUACAUUGCUACAUGUAUUGAAACAGUGCUGACAUAGCCGUGCCAACAGUGAUGGCAUCAUACAGUGAGA